UUACUUAAGCAUAUCAAUAAGCGGAGGAAAAGAAACUAACAAGGAUUCCCCUAGUAACUGCGAGUGAAGCGGGAAAAGCUCAAAUUUAAAAUCUGGCAGUCUUUUGGCUGUCCGAGUUGUAAUCUAGAGAAGUGUUAUCCGCGCUGGACCGUGUACAAGUCUCCUGGAAUGGAGCAUCAUAGAGGGUGAGAAUCCCGUCUUUGACAUGGACUGCCAGGGCUUUGUGAUGCGCUCUCAAAGAGUCGAGUUGUUUGGGAAUGCAGCUCAAAAUGGGUGGUAAAUUCCAUCUAAAGCUAAAUAUUGGCGAGAGACCGAUAGCGAACAAGUACCGUGAGGGAAAGAUGAAAAGAACUUUGGAAAGAGAGUUAAACAGUACGUGAAAUUGCUGAAAGGGAAACGCUUGAAGUCAGUCGCGUUGUCCAGGGAUCAACCUUGCUUUUGCUUGGUGCAUUUUCUGGUUUGACGGGUCAGCAUCAAUUUUGACCUAUUGGAAAAAGAUUGAGGGAAUGUGGCAUCCUUGGAUGUGUUAUAGCCCUUGGUCACAUACAAUGGUUGGGAUUGAGGAACUCAGCACGCCGCAAGGCCGGGUGUCAACACCACGUACGUGCUUAGGAUGCUGGCAAUAUGGCUUUAAUCGACCCGUCUUGAAACACGGACCAAGGAGUCUAACAUGCCUGCGAGUGUUUGGGUGUAAAACCCGAGCGCGUAAUGAAAGUGAAAAGUUGAGAUCCCUGUCGUGGGGAGCAUCGACGCCCGGACCAGACCUUUUGUGACGGUUCCGCGGUAGAGCAUGUAUGUUGGGACCCGAAAGAUGGUGAACUAUGCCUGAAUAGGGUGAAUCCAGAGGAAACUCUGGUGGAGGCUCGUAGCGAUUCUGACGUGCAAAUCGAUCGUCAAAUUUGGGUAUAGGGGCGAAAGACUAAUCGAACCAUCUAGUAGCUGGUUCCUGCCGAAGUUUCCCUCAGGAA
RNAcentral lists this ribosomal RNA (968 nucleotides) under Cortinarius duracinus. RNAcentral's name for it is "LSU rRNA". It matches the Rfam family "Eukaryotic large subunit ribosomal RNA", at positions 30 to 979 of the family's 3401-position model. The record is from RNAcentral. Lineage: Eukaryota; Fungi; Basidiomycota; Agaricomycetes; Agaricales; Cortinariaceae.